RNAcentral lists this ribosomal RNA (294 nucleotides) under uncultured bacterium. RNAcentral's name for it is "partial 16S ribosomal RNA". It matches the Rfam family "Bacterial small subunit ribosomal RNA", at positions 338 to 646 of the family's 1533-position model. The record is from RNAcentral.
CCUACGGGACGCAGCAGUGGGGAAUAUUGCACAAUGGGCGAAAGCCUGAUGCAGCAACGCCGCGUGAAGGAAGAAGGGUUUCGGCUCGUAAACUUCUAUCAACAGGGACGAAAGAAAUGACGGUACCUGAAUAAGAAGCCCCGGCUAACUACGUGCCAGCAGCCGCGGUAAUACGUAGGGGGCAAGCGUUAUCCGGAUUUACUGGGUGUAAAGGGAGCGUAGACGGAAAGGCAAGUCAGAAGUGAAAGCCCAAGGCUCAACCAUGGGACUGCUUUUUAAACUGUCAAACUAGAG